AUUGAACGCUGGCGGCAGGCUUAACACAUGCAAGUCGAGCGGAGCGAGGGUGCUUGCACCUUAGCUUAGCGGCGGACGGGUGAGUAAUGCUUAGGAAUCUGCCUAUUAGUGGGGGACAACAUUCCGAAAGGGAUGCUAGUACCGCAUACGCCCUACGGGGGAAAGCAGGGGAUCUUCGGACCUUGCGCUAAUAGAUGAGCCUAAGUCGGAUUAGCUAGUUGGUGGGGUAAAGGCCUACCAAGGCGACGAUCUGUAGCGGGUCUGAGAGGAUGAUCCGCCACACUGGGACUGAGACACGGCCCAGACUCCUACGGGAGGUAGCAGUGGGGAAUAUUGGACAAUGGGCGGAAGCCUGAUCCAGCCAUGCCGCGUGUGUGAAGAAGGCCUUUUGGUUGUAAAGCACUUUAAGCGAGGAGGAGGCUACUAGUAUUAAUACUACUGGAUAGUGGACGUUACUCGCAGAAUAAGCACCGGCUAACUCUGUGCCAGCCGCCGCAGUAA
RNAcentral lists this ribosomal RNA (501 nucleotides) under uncultured bacterium. Its description in RNAcentral is "partial 16S ribosomal RNA". It matches the Rfam family "Bacterial small subunit ribosomal RNA", at positions 30 to 523 of the family's 1533-position model. The record is from RNAcentral.